Peromyscus eremicus (cactus mouse) is the source of this 107-nucleotide small nuclear RNA. The record is from RefSeq and is a predicted model, not a curated record. NCBI's taxonomy places the organism in Eukaryota, Metazoa, Chordata, Mammalia, Rodentia, Cricetidae.
GCGCUCACUUGGGCAUCACAUAUACUAAAAUUGGAACAAUACAGAGAAGAUGCGCAUGGCCCCUGCAAAAGGAUGACACACAAAUUCAUGGAACAUUCCGUAUUAAA